Long non-coding RNA from Polypterus senegalus (gray bichir), 255 nucleotides. RefSeq lists it as uncharacterized. The record is from RefSeq and is a predicted model, not a curated record. Lineage: Eukaryota; Metazoa; Chordata; Cladistia; Polypteriformes; Polypteridae. The transcript is spliced from 3 exons.
UCAUUUCUCUGUGUCUCUCUUGAUGAUGGACACUUGCCCAGCUACACUGUUGCUACUAAAUUCAAUUCUAAGACAAUGAGAAUGAAGAUGAUACAACUGAAAAAUAAUCUGGAAGAGACUGUCAAGGAGCAGAUCAAGACAUUGACUACAUCAGAAGGACCAGAAUAAUGAUACGAGGAUAUUGAGUGAUCUCGAAGCUUCAUCUUCCACCUAACAGCCCCCUGCACCUCGGAGCUGAGAGGAGUUUUUAAAUUG